CUUUGUAUUAACUGAUUUUUUCAACUUCUAAUAUUUUUGAGCCAUUGUCAGCCCAAUUAAGUGUUCGGCACAUGUUUUGCAUUUCAGAAUCCAUACACCAUUCAUCUGUAAAGAGGUAUGAAAGGGAUGUGAGUCAUUAGUCAUCGUCAGGAAACACGUUUCUGAAAAAUUAAUACAUGACCAGUUGCCGCUUACUGGCACAUCAGUGAAAACUAAGAAUAUCUGCUCAUACCGAGGGAAGAACCAUGUUACUCAAAAUGCAUUGUGUACCAGUUGUGGCAUGGAAACUACACUCUCUGCAUUGUAUUUAAUGCUUUAAUGAUGCCAGAACACCUGCCUUGAAUAAAUAAGUUACAUGAGCUCA
This 364-nucleotide long non-coding RNA is filed under the name Calidris pugnax (ruff). RNAcentral describes it as "lncRNA (ENSCPUG00000004360.1)". The record is from RNAcentral. Lineage: Eukaryota; Metazoa; Chordata; Aves; Charadriiformes; Scolopacidae.